CUAGUUGGCGGGGUAAAAGCCCCACCAAGGCGACGAUCCGUAGCUGGUCUGAGAGGAUGAUCAGCCACACUGGAAUGAGACACGGUCCAGACUCCUACGGGAGGCAGCAGUGGGGAAUUUUGGACAAUGGGCGCAAGCCUGAUCCAGCCAUGCCGCGUGAGUGAAGAAGGCCUUCGGGUUGUAAAGCUCUUUCGGCAGGAACGAAAUGGUUCGUGCUAAUACCACGGACUGAUGACGGUACCUGAAGAAGAAGCACCGGCUAACUACGUGCCAGCAGCCGCGGUAAUACGUAGGGUGCAGGCGUUAAUCGGAAUUACUGGGCGUAAAGCGUGCGCAGGCGGUUUCUUAAGUCAGAUGUGAAAGCCCCGGGCUUAACCUGGGAACUGCGUUUGAAACUGGGAGACUUGAGUGUGGCAGAGGGGGGUGGAAUUCCACGUGUAGCAGUGAAAUGCGUAGAUAUGUGGAGGAACACCGAUGGCGAAGGCAGCCCCCUGGGUUAACACUGACGCUCAUGCACGAAAGCGUGGGGAGCAAACAGGAUUAGAUACCCUGGUAGUCCACGCCCUAAACUAUGUCAACUGGUUGUCGGGGGAUUAACUCCCUUGGUAACGAAGCUAACGCGUGAAGUUGACCGCCUGGGGAGUACGGCCGCAAGGUUAAAACUCAAAGGAAUUGACG
Molecule: ribosomal RNA, 678 nt
Filed under: uncultured beta proteobacterium
Lineage: Bacteria; Pseudomonadati; Pseudomonadota; Betaproteobacteria
Description: SSU rRNA
Rfam family: Bacterial small subunit ribosomal RNA
Source: RNAcentral